UACGGAGGGUGCAAGCGUUAUCCGGAUUCACUGGGUUUAAAGGGUGCGUAGGCGGGUUGGUAAGUCAGUGGUGAAAUCUUCAAGCUUAACUUGGAAACUGCCGUUGAUACUAUCAAUCUUGAAUAUUGUGGAGGUAAGCGGAAUAUGUCAUGUAGCGGUGAAAUGCUUAGAUAUGACAUAGAACACCGAUAGCGAAGGCAGCUUGCUACACAAUAACUGACGCUGAGGCACGAAAGCGUGGGGAGCAAACAGG
Molecule: ribosomal RNA, 253 nt
Filed under: uncultured bacterium
Lineage: Bacteria
Description: partial 16S ribosomal RNA
Rfam family: Bacterial small subunit ribosomal RNA
Source: RNAcentral